RNA transcript from Daucus carota subsp. sativus, 1803 nucleotides. RefSeq lists it as uncharacterized. NCBI's taxonomy places the organism in Eukaryota, Viridiplantae, Streptophyta, Magnoliopsida, Apiales, Apiaceae. The record is from RefSeq and is a predicted model, not a curated record. The transcript is spliced from 5 exons.
GAAAAAAGACAAGAAAAGACAAAUGAUUGACUAGCAAGCCAGCGUGUCAUAUGUGCAGCUCCGCCAUCUUCAUCCAUCACAAGAGUUGCAAAUUGUAGUAUAAUAUAACCAAAUUUCAUCACCCGCCCCUGUUGGUUCGGACAAAACUCACGCACAAAGCACCUCUGUUGAUGUUCUUCUCCGCCAUCUAAACUGGGCUUCCCUAGAUUCUUCCGGUCUCAACGAUCACCUUACAGAACCGGGCUGAGUUUUUCUUAAUUAUAUUUACUAGGACUCUUUGGUGUUUUCAUUUUUGAGGAAAUUAAAUGGAUCAUAGUGCCUUGGAAGACAGAGACCUUGAGAGUGGAGGAACAGGCAGCGAAGAUGAGCUGAGUAGCGGAAGCAUUUCAUCCAACAAGUCAGCAAGAAGUGUGUUUGGUAGACUUAGGACUGAUAUUUUGGGUUUUGAGGGAUAUGGCAAGGAUGAGUGUAGUUCGAGCACCUAUAACAUGUCAGGAAAUUCUAAUCAGGCUUUGUAUGAAAAUAAAGAUUCUUUAACAGACAAACAUUUAGAACAAGGCAUAGAACAGCUGCCUGUUACAGAGAAAAAGAACAUAAAAGAGAAAAGGAAAAAUUCUUUUCGAAAGGCCUCUAGACCCCCUCGACCUCCCAAAGGUCCAACACUGGAUGUCUCAGAUUUAAAGUUAAUUACGGAAAUUUCUGAUCUUGCUAAGAAGAGGCGUGCAAGGAUUAAACGCAUCAAGGCACUUAGGGAAAUGAAAACCAAGAUAGCAUCGCCAUCUUCUUCAUCAUCGUCAUCGUUGAUCGGUAGGCUAGCUGCCAUGGUGGCUACACUUCUCCUUUUUAUUGUUAUUCUCUUUCAAGGCAUUUUAUCAAAGCACACUUCAAGUGCUAGCUUCAAGGGAUCUCCUGAGCCAGCUGCAGCAGCACACGACUUGAUAUCAGUUCGCUUCUUCAACAGCACCCCUAUAAGUGGGGGCAGUGCACCGAGUUCCAUACUUCCCAAAUUGUAUGAUAAAGCUGGUGGAGGUUCUGGAUAGUUUUAUGUGUGAAAAGUGAUAAAAUUGGCGAGACACAUACACUAGUAAUGUGCUCCACCUUAUAUUCUUAUAUCCCAUUGCACCAGAAACCCGAGGGUAAACACCAUUCCAUCAACCGAUAAUGUAUUUAUGUAGAUGUACAGAUAAGUGGGUAUUUCAAUUGAUUACUGAGUUGUUGGUGAUUGUUACUUCUUCCUGUAUGCUACAGACUUGUAUAUUUCUUCACCAUUUUAGAGUCAAACUUGACAAACUGAGAUCUAGUGUGAUUCCAUCCCGUGAAGCUUAAAAAGAGCACAAUCCUUUUUGAAAAAGGUCCCUACAGUUAGUAGUUUAAGUAGAUAAAAAAACUUGUACACUUGCUGUAUGCCAUAAAUGGCAAAUAGCAAGAACAUCACAAGCAAGCACUCUCCCAUGGCUGCCUGCUUACAUCUGUAAAUAUAUCAGACUCGAAAUUCGACAUUUUAGUAUGCAUAUUCAGGUACUGAAUUCAGCCCGUUACCAAAUUCGUUGGUGAAAAACUAGUGAAUAUGUAAUACAAUGCUGCGUAUUUGAUUUAUUAGAAUACGCUCUCUGCUGAUCGCGAAUUGUAAGUUCAGCAGCUUUUUUUUUUUUUUUUUGGUCACAGUAAGUUCAGCAGCUUAUGUGUUGCAAAUACAUCCACAACUUCCAGUUGUGAUGUACAUGUUUGAAACCAUUAGAUCUUUGUAAAGGUCUAUAUUUGUUGGUGAAGGCAAUAUAUUUUUACACAUGCUAUUUGGCUGUA